RNAcentral lists this ribosomal RNA (395 nucleotides) under Acanthamoeba sp. Cerrado FPD-2014. Its description in RNAcentral is "SSU rRNA". It matches the Rfam family "Eukaryotic small subunit ribosomal RNA", at positions 795 to 1093 of the family's 1831-position model. Lineage: Eukaryota; Discosea; Longamoebia; Acanthamoebidae. The record is from RNAcentral.
CAAUAACAUGUAGCAUGGGAUAAUGGAAUAGGACCCUGUCUUCCUAUUUUCAGUUGGUUUUGGCAGCGCGAGGACUAGGGUAAUGAUUAAUAGGGAUAGUUGGGGGCAUUAAUAUUUAAUUGUCAGAGGUGAAAUUCUUGGAUUUAUGAAAGAUUAACUUCUGCGAAAGCAUCUGCCAAGGAUGUUUUCAUUAAUCAAGAACGAAAGUUAGGGGAUCGAAGACGAUCAGAUACCGUCGUAGUCUUAACCAUAAACGAUGCCGACCAGCGAUUAGGAGACGUUGAAUACAAAACACCACCAUCGGCGCGGUCGUCCUUGGCGUCUCGCGUUCGCGCGCGGCGCGAGGGCGGCUUACCCCGGUGGCACCGGUGAAUGACUCCCCUAGCAGCUUGUGA